Molecule: long non-coding RNA, 1547 nt
Filed under: Homo sapiens (human)
Lineage: Eukaryota; Metazoa; Chordata; Mammalia; Primates; Hominidae
Description: non-protein coding lnc-GPCPD1-8:24
Source: RNAcentral
CACGAACAUGACUCACUGCAGCCUUGACCUCCUGGGCUCAAGCAAUCCUCCAGUCUCAGCCCCUCAGGUUGCUAGGACUACAGGCGCAAGCCACCACACCCAGGUUGCAUAUGUCACCUGCACUGUGGUCCAGGAGUCUCAAGUCACCAUCCCCACCAUGGUCAGUCGCCUGGUGACCCCAGGCAGAAACUGAUCAUCAGGGGAUCUUGGAGGUAGGAAAAUUAUUAAAGAAAUCCAAGAGCAGGACUGGAACAAGAAAGUGUGGAGGUGGGAGAGAGGACAACUGGAGACCCAGGAGGGCCUCUGAGACCAGGGAGAGAAUGCGGGGAUGGCAGGGACAGAAUCUUCAUCCACUGAGAUUGGUGGAAGCCCCGUCUGUGCCCUGUCCGUGUUGGGGUCCCCCUCUCAGAUGGUUUCUUCUGCACCACCAGUCACCCCUACCCUGUCUGCUGACCCAUGGCAGAAACAGCAGAUGUGACUGGGGGGCACUGAGGCAGGUGGGGACCAAGGGACCAGGGACAGCAGGCGCCACCCUGAGCAGGAUCAAGGAGAGCUGGAAAAGGAGGUGGGAGUCGUUGUUAGAGGAGGGUGUGAAGUAGUCGGGACGAAAGAGGCCAGGAGGAGCCCCAGGACCUGAGGCCCUCCCUCUGCACACAGCCUUUCUCUGUUGGGCUCAGGCCCUGGCAACAGCCCAUUAUUUACUUCCCCCAACCCUGGCUCAUGCUCAGCCAAUCCCUGCUCCACUGAAGUUCUCUUGCCCAGUGUUCCUGGCAGUAAAUUGUAAGGAGGAGUAGUGCUCACCGAAGGGCAUAGGGCCUGCCAUGGGUCUUUGUACAUAGAACUUAAUAGCAGCCCUCAGUGUAUUAGUGAAGUGGUUUCUCUUAUCAUUUUGAGGCAAGAAAAGAGGUAUAAAGAAGCUGGUUGAACUUGCCCAAGAUCACACAGCCAGCCUGUGGCCCAGCUGACUUUUGAGCUCAGGCACAUGACUUGGCAUUUUCUGACACAUUCUGGUUCCUCUGACUUCUUCCCAUCUGAGGCUCCCUGCCCUGCAUUCAGAUGCCCCCUCUGACUUGAUGUUCAGGAGCACAGACUUCCAGCAGUGAGAGCCAAGGAAAUGGAACCAGCCAGAUGGGGAAGGACUGAGUGUAAAUCCCAGGCUUGUCUCCAAGUCCAGGCCUUUUCUGGCAGAUAUCAGCAGCAAGACCAAGGUAGCCACAGAGGCGAGCUCUGCUGGGUGGGAACUCCCUGAAUAUUUAAGUGUGCAUGUGAUUCUUCCAGGGGUCUGCCAGAUCCUGUGCUGUUCCAGGUAGGAGGCACUGGGCAUCUGGGCACUCAAAACCUACCACUGUAAAGAAGACUGAACCAGUAAGGCCACACGCCGGGCACGGGGCCCCAUUUUCAGAGGAUGGAGCCAGGCCUGUCGGGGCUGCUCAUGUGUCCACCUCCUUCAGGCUCCCUCAUUAUCCAAACGGCAUUUCCACACAUGGGAAUUUGCAAAAGGAGAGAGUGAAAGGCCCAGGGCAUUUCUGUGGUCUGUACUAACCCUC